Transfer RNA from Phytophthora infestans T30-4, 72 nucleotides. It matches the Rfam family "tRNA". From Rfam's summary of the family: Transfer RNA (tRNA) molecules are approximately 80 nucleotides in length. Their secondary structure includes four short double-helical elements and three loops (D, anti-codon, and T loops). The record is from Rfam. NCBI's taxonomy places the organism in Eukaryota, Oomycota, Peronosporomycetes, Peronosporales, Peronosporaceae.
GCUCUUAUGGUGUAAUGGUUAGCACUCUGGACUUUGAAUCCAGCGAUCCGGGUUCAAAUCCCGGUAGGAGCU